GUGAGGAAUAUUGGUCAAUGGACGAGAGUCUGAACCAGCCAAGUCGCGUGAAGGAAGACGGUUCUAUGAAUUGUAAACUUCUUUUGUGCAGGAAUAAAGUGGGUUACGUGUAACCUUUUGUAUGUACUGUACGAAUAAGGAUCGGCUAACUCCGUGCCAGCAGCCGCGGUAAUACGGAGGAUCCGAGCGUUAUCCGGAUUUAUUGGGUUUAAAGGGUGCGUAGGUGGAUUGAUAAGUCAGCGGUGAAAGUUUGCAGCUUAACUGUAAAAUUGCCGUUGAAACUGUCGGGCUUGAGUGCAAAUGAGGUAGGCGGAAUGUGUUGUGUAGCGGUGAAAUGCUUAGAUAUAACACAGAACUCCGAUUGCGAAGGCAGCUUACUGGGAUGCAACUGACACUGAUGCACGAAAGCGUGGGUAUCAAACAGGAUUAGAAACCCGUGUAGUCC
RNAcentral lists this ribosomal RNA (445 nucleotides) under uncultured bacterium. RNAcentral's name for it is "partial 16S ribosomal RNA". It matches the Rfam family "Bacterial small subunit ribosomal RNA", at positions 354 to 796 of the family's 1533-position model. The record is from RNAcentral.